Molecule: ribosomal RNA, 440 nt
Filed under: uncultured bacterium
Lineage: Bacteria
Description: bacterial SSU rRNA
Rfam family: Bacterial small subunit ribosomal RNA
Source: RNAcentral
CCUACGGGUGGCUGCAGUGGGGAAUUUUGCGCAAUGGGCGAAAGCCUGACGCAGCAACGCCGCGUGGAGGAUGAAGGUCUUUGGAUUGUAAACUCCUGUCAGCGGGGAAAAAGGGACUCGGCCGAAUACGCCGGGGACUUGAUUGUACCCGCAGAGGAAGCCCCGGCUAACUCUGUGCCAGCAGCCGCGGUAAUACAGAGGGGGCAAGCGUUAUUCGGAAUUAUUGGGCGUAAAGGGCGCGUAGGCGGCUUUUCAAGUGACGGGUGAAAUCCCUCGGCUUAACCGAGGAACUGCCUGUCAGACUGGAUUGCUUGAGGCCGGGAGAGGCGAGUGGAAUUCCCAGUGUAGCGGUGAAAUGCGUAGAUAUUGGGAGGAACACCAGUGGCGAAGGCGGCUCGCUGGACCGGUUCUGACGCUGAGGCGCGAAAGCGUGGGGAGCA